RNAcentral lists this ribosomal RNA (468 nucleotides) under uncultured bacterium. Its description in RNAcentral is "partial 16S ribosomal RNA". It matches the Rfam family "Bacterial small subunit ribosomal RNA", at positions 28 to 507 of the family's 1533-position model. The record is from RNAcentral.
GACGAACGCUGGCGGCGUGCUUAAUACAUGCAAGUCGAACGGAAAGGCCCUGCUUUUGUGGGGUGCUCGAGUGGCGAACGGGUGAGUAACACGUGAGUAACCUGCCCUUGACUUUGGGAUAACUUCAGGAAACUGGGGCUAAUACCGGAUAGGAGCUCCUGCUGCAUGGUGGGGGUUGGAAAGUUUCGGCGGUUGGGGAUGGACUCGCGGCUUAUCAGCUUGUUGGUGGGGUAGUGGCUUACCAAGGCUUUGACGGGUAGCCGGCCUGAGAGGGUGACCGGCCACAUUGGGACUACGAUACGGCCCAGACUCCUACGGGAGGCAGCAGUGGGGAAUAUUGCACAAUGGGCGGAAGCCUGAUGCAGCAACGCCGCGUGCGGGAUGACGGCCUUCGGGUUGUAAACCGCUUUCGCAGGUGACGAAGCGUGAGUGACGGUAAUGGGUAAAGAAGCACCGGCUAACUACGUG